Molecule: long non-coding RNA, 1445 nt
Organism: Hypomesus transpacificus
Lineage: Eukaryota; Metazoa; Chordata; Actinopteri; Osmeriformes; Osmeridae
Exons: 3
Source: RefSeq, a predicted model, not a curated record
CAUGGUGAUCAGUUUCCAGUCGUUCUGGAAAUCAACACGCUGUGAAGGAGGAAAUGACCAUCAGCCUUUUUCUGAUUCACUCACGCGGUCUACGAAUGGUGCAACGUACUGUGUGUGCCAGGAGGUUGUUUGGGUCUUUCGCACCAACCCCAUUGGCUGCCUGUGGUGAGGAAAAGAAAGAAAUGAUUGGCCAACUCUAUUGUCCCCAACAUUACAACAAGUCCCCAAAGAGAGCAGAGGGAAGCACAGAUAUGAUUGGAGCAGUUAGCUAACAUGGCCCGCCCACCGUUAAGGAGUCUCCGAGUGCUGCCACCACUUUGAUAUCCCCAGGCUGAAGCUCAUGAACUGCAUGGACAAGAAAGACAACUUCCACGUCAGCCAGCAACGCACACUAACUGCCAGGGGACGUGUUUACCCAACUCUCUGACGCUCUUUACCUGAGUGUCCAGACUUAUGGCAGAUAGUAAGGGAGAGGAAGACGUACGGGGUCAAUGAGAGGACUGGCCUCCCUCCUGUUGGUUGAGGAAUGCUCCUGGUGUGGGGACGGGGAGUUGAGCUGAGUCCUCAGGAAGGGCUGCUCCUGGGUUUGGACAGGAGAGAGGAGUGUGAGAGAGAACCAUGUCUCCAUUACUGUCACCUUGGUUGGCUAACCCUUCAGUAUUUGAUGUCUGAAGUCUGAGAAGGGAAGAAUGAUGAAUUAUGGGGUGAUGGAUUUUGGAUGCUUUAUGAUCUCAGAUGUCUUUCUGAUUUGCAUUUCCACGAGAAUAUGUCUCACCUCAGUGGGGCAGGAUAUACUGUUGAUGUCAUUGUCCUUCACUUCAGUCUGACCCGUCAUUGGCUGAAGCUGGGGGAGAGAUGAUUGUGAUUGGUCAAGGACAGAUCAUCUUACCUUAUGUAAUCAUCAGAUUACACCGAUAAACUUUGUAGACCUUAAGAUAAUAUAAAUCCUUGCCUGGAAGAACCAGAGAGUAUGAGUGAAGAUUAUAAUGGAACUCAUAAAACAACUACUCUCGACAUUGGUUAUCUAAUCUCUGAUAUUUAGAAAUAAUCAUAAAGUCCCUUUUCUUAUCAUUUGCUGAGUCACUUUAACAUUGUGCCACCCAAGGGCCAAAACAGUGACAUCACAUUCUGUCAAGGAAUCUACAAACACUUUCUCUUAGACCAAUUAUGUCUGCUGCAUUUGUUGCUGUUACAAUGUGCUCUGUGAAAAAGUGUUUUCCCAUGUUUGUUGCCCACAAUGUGUUUAUUGGGAGCUUACCAGGUUGUUCCACAGCUGAAGAAUCAACUGGAUUGUGUCAGAUGAAAAACCUGUCAUCUUCAAUGAAAAAUUUGACCUGCAUUUAUCUCAUCAUUGUUUAUAGAGGCUCAUUUCCACAUACUCUGGUUAUACAGCAUCUGUGGCAAUAACCCUGUUAUUAUUGUUGCUAUUAACCUGGUUAUUGUUU